CUUCACGGAGCCCAGCCACAGGGGCCGUUCGCGGUCCUGGCCGUAGGUGGCCAGGAGGGCCUGUGCCUC
This 69-nucleotide antisense RNA is filed under the name Streptomyces alanosinicus. RNAcentral's name for it is "ASpks TB sRNA". It matches the Rfam family "ASpks TB sRNA". Lineage: Bacteria; Bacillati; Actinomycetota; Actinomycetes; Kitasatosporales; Streptomycetaceae. The record is from Rfam by way of RNAcentral.